RNAcentral lists this ribosomal RNA (491 nucleotides) under Bacillus sp. GMTB-3A. RNAcentral's name for it is "bacterial SSU rRNA". It matches the Rfam family "Bacterial small subunit ribosomal RNA", at positions 15 to 488 of the family's 1533-position model. The record is from RNAcentral. Lineage: Bacteria; Bacillati; Bacillota; Bacilli; Caryophanales; Bacillaceae.
GAUCCUGGCUCAGGACGAACGCUGGCGGCGUGCCUAAUACAUGCAAGUCGAGCGGACAGAUGGGAGCUUGCUCCCUGAUGUUAGCGGCGGACGGGUGAGUAACACGUGGGUAACCUGCCUGUAAGACUGGGAUAACUCCGGGAAACCGGGGCUAAUACCGGAUGCUUGUUUGAACCGCAUGGUUCAAACAUAAAAGGUGGCUUCGGCUACCACUUACAGAUGGACCCGCGGCGCAUUAGCUAGUUGGUGAGGUAAYGGCUCACCAAGGCAACGAUGCGUAGCCGACCUGAGAGGGUGAUCGGCCACACUGGGACUGAGACACGGCCCAGACUCCUACGGGAGGCAGCAGUAGGGAAUCUUCCGCAAUGGACGAAAGUCUGACGGAGCAACGCCGCGUGAGUGAUGAAGGUUUUUGGAUCGUAAAGCUCUGUUGUUAGGGAAGAACAAGUACCGUUCGAAUAGGGCGGUACCUUGACGGUACCUAACCAGAA